Molecule: RNA transcript, 3010 nt
Organism: Sapajus apella (tufted capuchin)
Lineage: Eukaryota; Metazoa; Chordata; Mammalia; Primates; Cebidae
Gene name: plastin-1 pseudogene
Exons: 1
Source: RefSeq, a predicted model, not a curated record
CAGCCCCUUUGGGAGCCAAGAAAGCGGUAGACCUGCCUCCAGGUCCCUGAGAAUUCUGGCUCUGCCAAGAGUGCUUUCCAUACCCUGGCGGAGUGGCGUCGGCGUUCAAGGCGCCUUUCCCCUUAGCAAUGCAGUGUGCCUCAGCCCAGGGCCCUACCCUUGAGGAAACCGCACGUUCUGGAUUCUGCAUGGGCCAACGUUGGCCCAGAGACGUCAGGGAAUUUGAGGCAACAUUCCCAGCCGGCCUGCUGUCUCCCCAUGUUCUGCUCUCUGCCUUGUUCAGUGAGAGUUUACCGGAAGAGGUAACUAUUCCCGAAUGAGAGUCUGCUAUCAGUCUAGCACAAAACUCUGAAAAUACCUCCUUCCUGGCCUGGAUCUUCAGUGGGAGCUGCGCUCUUGAGGGCAGAACGGCGGCCGCGGCAGACACAAAGACCUGAAGAUAGUCUUUUCUGUCCAAAGAUGGAAAACAGCACUACUACCAUUUCUCGGGAGGAACUUGAAGAACUACAAGAAGCAUUUAAUAAAAUAGAUAUUGAUAAUAGUGGGUAUGUCAGUGACUAUGAACUUCAAGAACUGUUUAAGGAAGCAAGCCUUCUUCUGCCUGGCUACAAGGUGCGAGAGAUUGUGGAGAAAAUUCUAUCAGUUGCUGACAGCAACAAAGAUGGCAAAAUCAGUUUUGAAGAGUUUGUGUCACUAAUGCAAGAAUUAAAAAGCAAAGAUAUCAGCAAAACAUUCCAAAAGAUAAUUAACAAGACGGAAGGGAUUACUGCUAUUGGAGGAACUUCAUCUAUUUCCAGUGUGGGCACACAGCAUUCGUAUUCAGAGGAAGAAAAAGUGGCUUUUGUUAACUGGAUAAACAAAGCCCUGGUGAAUGACUCUGACUGUAAGCAUCUUAUACCCAUGAAUCCCAAUGAUGAUAGUCUUUUCAAGUCACUUGCAGAUGACAUCCUUCUUUGCAAAACGAUCAACUUAUCUGAACCAGAUACAAUUGAUGAAAGAGCCAUCAAUAAGAAAAAGCUCACGCCUUUCACCAUUUCUGAAAAUUUAAACCUACCUCUGAAUUCUGCCUCGGCCAUUGGUUGUACAGCUGUCAACAUCAGUGCAUCAGAUCUCAAAGAAGGAAAACCUCACUUGGUCUUGGGACUUCUCUGGCAGAUCAUCAAAGUUGGCCUUUUUGCUGAUAUUGAGAUUUCUAGGAAUGAAGCUCUGAUUGCAUUGCUGAAUGAAGGUGAGGAACUAGAGGAGCUGAUGAAGCUUUCUCCUGAGGAAUUACUGCUGCAAUGGGUGAACUACCAUCUGACCAAUGCAGGAUGGCAUACCAUUAGCAACUUCAGCCAAGACAUUAAGGAUUCGAGAGCCUAUUUUCAUCACUUAAUCAGAUUGCCCCUAAAGGUGGGGAAGAUGGACCUGCCAUUGCCAUUGACCUUUCAGGAAUUAAUGAGAAAAAUGACCUGAAGCGUGCUGGACUCAUGCUUCAAGAGGCAGAUAAAAUGGGCUGCAAGCAGUUUGUUACUCCUGCAGAUGUGGUUUCAGGCAAUCCUAAAUUUAAUUUGGCUUUUGUGGCUAAUCUGUUUAACACAUACCCAUGCCUGCACAAGCCGAAUAAUAAUGACAUCAGUAUGAAUUUACUGGAAGGAGAGAGCAAGGAAGAGAGGACAUUUCGGAACUGGAUGAAUUCCUUGGGAGUCAACCCAUACAUUAAUCAUUUGUACAGUGACCUUGCAGAUGCUUUAGUGAUCUUUCAGCUCUAUGAGAUGAUACGAGUGCCAGUCAACUGGAGCCAUGUCAAUAAACCUCCUUACCCUGCCCUUGGAGGGAACAUGAAGAAGAUUGAUAACUGUAACUAUGCAGUGGAACUUGGGAAGAACAAGGCCAAAUUCUCCUUGGUUGGCAUUGCUAGGCAGGACCUAAAUGAAGGGAAUUCAACACUUACCCUGCCAUUGGUAUGGCAGCUGAUGAGAAGGUACACAUUGAAUGUGUUAUCGGAUCUUGGAGAGGGUGAAAAAGUAAAUGAUGAAAUUAUUAUUAAAUGGGUCAAUCAGACUCUUAAAAGUGCAAACAAAAAUACUUCUAUUUCCAUCUUCAAGGAUAAAUCUAUAAGCACAAGUUUACCUGUCCUAGAUUUAAUAGAUGCCAUUGCACCAAAUGCAGUUCGUCAAGAAAUGAUCAAGAGAGAAAACUUAUCUGAUGAGGACAAGCUGAACAAUGCUAAAUAUGCCAUUUCCGUUGCUCGAAAGAUCAGUGCCCGGAUAUAUGCAUUACCUGAUGACCUUAUGGAAGUGAAACCAAAGAUGGUUAUAAAGGUGUUUGCAUGCUUAAUGGGAAAAGGACUGAACAGAAUAAAAAAUCAUUUCAUAUGAUUUUUUGCCAUAUUAAACAUAUUCUAUGCCUCACAGUUUACAGAAUUCUAAAAUGUAGUGGGUAUAAAACCAGAGAUUAUUUGUAUGCUCAAAAUAGUUAUAUAUUCAUUAAUGAAUUCAAUAUCCUGUUCAUACUAGUUAGAGCUGGUCAGCCUUUUUGGAUCACAGUUAAUUUACCAGCUGAUACAGAUAAUAGAAUAUAUUCAUAAUCAAGCUGCUACUUCAUGAUUAAAUUAUUUUGUUGCUUAAAAGUCUUAUUAAGACAAGACAUUCAUUCUUUUUUAUAGUUCAAAAGAGAUGAAUACAAAAGUGUUUGCAGGUUCUGUUGUGAAAUGUGUUUUGAUUUUUGUGUGUGUCAAUUUUGAUCACAAAUGCAUUCAUACUCAUAAUCCAGUUUUAUUUGCUUCCUCCAACUGUUUAAAGUGGUCCAAAAACACUUUUCUGUAGGUUUCUAUACUGUCUAAAACUUUAUGGUGACAAGUAUUGUUUAUUAAUAUCAAACUUUUUUAUAUAUGAGAACUAAUUCUUGAAUAAACCCCAAAGUUCACUCUCUUGUUAAGUAGCAGCAGCUUUUUACUUAAAACUUAAUUUUAGCUGCAUUGAUACCUUACAUAUCCUAGUUUGUUAAUACUAGUAUUGAUCGACUUACC